This 103-nucleotide ribosomal RNA is filed under the name uncultured eukaryote. Its description in RNAcentral is "partial small subunit ribosomal RNA". The record is from RNAcentral.
GCUGUCCGGGACUGAGCUGUCUCGAGAGGACUGCGGACUGCUGUAUCGAGGCCUUCGGGUCGCGGUAUGGCGGGAAACAGUUCAAUCGCAAUGGCUUGAACCG